UAGGGAAUCUUCCACAAUGGGCGAAAGCCUGAUGGAGCAACGCCGCGUGAGUGAGGAAGGCUUUCGGGUCGUAAAGCUCUGUUGCCAGGGAAGAAUAAGGAUCAUUUAACUGAUGAUCCGAUGACGGUACCUGAGAAGAAAGCCCCGGCUAACUACGUGCCAGCAGCCGCGGUAAUACGUAGGGGGCAAGCGUUGUCCGGAAUUAUUGGGCGUAAAGCGCGCGCAGGCGGCUCUUUAAGUCUGGUGUUUAAGUGCGGGGCUCAACCCCGUGACGCACUGGAAACUGGGGAGCUUGAGUGCAGAAGAGGAGAGCGGAAUUCCACGUGUAGCGGUGAAAUGCGUAGAGAUGUGGAGGAACACCAGUGGCGAAGGCGGCUCUCUGGACUGUAACUGACGCUGAGGCGCGAAAGCGUGGGGAGCAAACAGGAUUAGAUACCCUGGUAGUCCACGCCGUAAACGAUGAGUGCUAGGUGUUGGGGGUAUCAUGCCCUCGGUGCCGAAGUUAACACAUUAAGCACUCCGCCCUGGGGAGUACGGUCGCAAGACUGAAACUCAAAGGAAUUGACGGGGGUCAU
Molecule: ribosomal RNA, 575 nt
Filed under: uncultured bacterium
Lineage: Bacteria
Description: partial 16S ribosomal RNA
Rfam family: Bacterial small subunit ribosomal RNA
Source: RNAcentral